UACGUAGGGUGCAAGCGUUGUCCGGAAUUAUUGGGCGUAAAGAGCUCGUAGGCGGUCUGUCGCGUCUGGUGUGAAAAUCCAGGGCUUAACCCUGGACCUGCAUCGGGUACGGGCAGACUAGAGUGCGGUAGGGGAGAUCGGAAUUCCUGGUGUAGCGGUGAAAUGCGCAGAUAUCAGGAGGAACACCGGUGGCGAAGGCGGAUCUCUGGGCCGUAACUGACGCUGAGGAGCGAAAGCGUGGGGAGCGAACAGG
RNAcentral lists this ribosomal RNA (253 nucleotides) under uncultured bacterium. RNAcentral describes it as "partial 16S ribosomal RNA". It matches the Rfam family "Bacterial small subunit ribosomal RNA", at positions 524 to 776 of the family's 1533-position model. The record is from RNAcentral.